Molecule: ribosomal RNA, 467 nt
Filed under: uncultured bacterium
Lineage: Bacteria
Description: partial 16S ribosomal RNA
Rfam family: Bacterial small subunit ribosomal RNA
Source: RNAcentral
ACGAACGCUGGCGGCGUGCUUAACACAUGCAAGUCGAACGGAAAGGCCCUGCUUUUGUGGGGUGCUCGAGUGGCGAGCGGGUGAGUAACACGUGAGUAACCUGCCCUUGACUUUGGGAUAACUUCAGGAAACUGGGGCUAAUACCGGAUAGGAGCUCCUGCUGCAUGGUGGGGGUUGGAAAGUUUCGGCGGUUGGGGAUGGACUCGCGGCUUAUCAGCUUGUUGGUGGGGUAGUGGCUUACCAAGGCUUUGACGGGUAGCCGGCCUGAGAGGGUGACCGGCCACAUUGGGACUGAGAUACGGCCCAGACUCCUACGGGAGGCAGCAGUGGGGAAUAUUGCACAAUGGGCGGAAGCCUGAUGCAGCAACGCCGCGUGCGGGAUGACGGUCUUCGGGUUGUAAACCGCUUUCGCCUGUGACGAAGCGUGAGUGACGGUAAUGGGUAAAGAAGCACCGGCUAACUACGUG